CCUACGGGUGGCAGCAGUGAGGAAUAUUGGUCAAUGGUCGGGAGACUGAACCAGCCAAGCCGCGUGAGGGAUGAAGGUACAGAGUAUCGUAACCUCUUUUGUCAGGGAACAAAGGCGGGGACGUGUCCCCGGAUGAGUGUACCUGAAGAAAAAGCAUCGGAUAACGCCGUUCCAGAAGGCGCGGUAAUAAGGGGGGUGCGAGCGUUAUCCGGAUUUAGUGGGUGUAAAGGGGGCGCAGGCGGUCUGUUAAGUCAGCGGUCAAAACCCGGGGGUCAACCCCGGCCCGCCGUUGAAACUGGCAGUCUCGAGUUGGAGAGAAGUAUGCGGAAUGCGCGGUGUAGCGGUGAAAUGCAUAGAUAUCGCGCAGAACUCCGAUUGCGAAGGCAGCAUGCCGGCUCCACACUGACGCUGAGGCACGAAAGCGUGGGUAUCGAACAGGAUUAGAUACCCCAGUAGUC
RNAcentral lists this ribosomal RNA (458 nucleotides) under uncultured bacterium. RNAcentral describes it as "partial 16S ribosomal RNA". It matches the Rfam family "Bacterial small subunit ribosomal RNA", at positions 338 to 795 of the family's 1533-position model. The record is from RNAcentral.